Molecule: RNase P RNA, 345 nt
Filed under: Weissella confusa
Lineage: Bacteria; Bacillati; Bacillota; Bacilli; Lactobacillales; Lactobacillaceae
Description: partial RNase P RNA component class A
Rfam family: Bacterial RNase P class A
About the family: Ribonuclease P (RNase P) is a ubiquitous endoribonuclease, found in archaea, bacteria and eukarya as well as chloroplasts and mitochondria. Its best characterised activity is the generation of mature 5'-ends of tRNAs by cleaving the 5'-leader elements of precursor-tRNAs.
Source: RNAcentral
CGCUGAUGCCCCACAAGGGCAGAAGAGGAAAGUCCGGGCAACAUAGAGCAUCCUACUUCCUAACGGAAAGCUGUCUGCGAAGGUAGAGUAAUGUAGAAGAAAAUAACCGCCUUGUUUCGCAAGGUAAGGGUGAGAAGGUGGGGUAAGAGCCCACCGGUCGUAUGGUGACAUGCGAGCCGUGCACAUCGGAGGCUGAAAGUUCGCGUAUACCGGCGGUGAGAGGGCGGUCCGUCCGAGCGUAGCCCGUCGGAGGGUAGAACGAUAGAGCUUGUCGGCGACGGCAAGUGCGGAUAAAUGACAGACACGUUCCUUUCGGAACGCACAGAACCCGGCUUAUAGCCCGAC